This 216-nucleotide ribosomal RNA is filed under the name uncultured bacterium. RNAcentral describes it as "partial 16S ribosomal RNA". It matches the Rfam family "Bacterial small subunit ribosomal RNA", at positions 125 to 334 of the family's 1533-position model. The record is from RNAcentral.
CCGUAGCCUGGUAGCGGGGGAUAACUAUUGGAAACGAUAGCUAAUACCGCAUAACAGUAGAUGUUGCAUGACAUUUGCUUAAAAGGUGCAAUUGCAUCACUACCAGAUGGACCUGCGUUGUAUUAGCUAGUUGGUGGGGUAACGGCUCACCAAGGCGACGAUACAUAGCCGACCUGAGAGGGUGAUCGGCCACACUGGGACUGAGACACGGCCCAG